RNAcentral lists this transfer RNA (70 nucleotides) under Circus assimilis. RNAcentral's name for it is "tRNA-Arg". It matches the Rfam family "tRNA". Rfam says of the family: Transfer RNA (tRNA) molecules are approximately 80 nucleotides in length. The record is from RNAcentral. Lineage: Eukaryota; Metazoa; Chordata; Aves; Accipitriformes; Accipitridae.
AGGAAGGUAGUCUAACUAAGACAGUUGAUUUCGACUCAACGAAUCACAGAUCGAUCCUGUGCCUCCCUCC